Molecule: ribosomal RNA, 473 nt
Filed under: uncultured bacterium
Lineage: Bacteria
Description: bacterial SSU rRNA
Rfam family: Bacterial small subunit ribosomal RNA
Source: RNAcentral
ACUCCUACGGGAGGCAGCAGUGGGGAAUAUUGCACAAUGGGCGCAAGCCUGAUGCAGCCAUGCCGCGUGUGUGAAGAAGGCCUUCGGGUUGUAAAGCACUUUCAGUCGUGAGGAAGGUAGUGUAGUUAAUAGCUGCAUUAUUUGACGUUAGCGACAGAAGAAGCACCGGCUAACUCCGUGCCAGCAGCCGCGGUAAUACGGAGGGUGCGAGCGUUAAUCGGAAUUACUGGGCGUAAAGCGCAUGCAGGUGGUUUGUUAAGUCAGAUGUGAAAGCCCGGGGCUCAACCUCGGAAUAGCAUUUGAAACUGGCAGACUAGAGUACUGUAGAGGGGGGUAGAAUUUCAGGUGUAGCGGUGAAAUGCGUAGAGAUCUGAAGGAAUAUCGGUGGCGAAGGCGGCCCCCUGGACAGAUACUGACACUCAGAUGCGAAAGCGUGGGGAGCAAACAGGAUUAGAUACCCUGGUAGGAAAGCG